Molecule: ribosomal RNA, 471 nt
Filed under: uncultured Sphingobacteriales bacterium
Lineage: Bacteria; Pseudomonadati; Bacteroidota; Sphingobacteriia; Sphingobacteriales
Description: bacterial SSU rRNA
Rfam family: Bacterial small subunit ribosomal RNA
Source: RNAcentral
UUGACGGGGCCCGGCACAAGCGGUGGAGCAUGUGGUUUAAUUUCGAUGAUACGCGAGGAACCUUACCUGGGCUCAAAUGUAUGUUGACGUAUUCUGAAAGGGAUACUUCUUCGGACAAUAUACAAGGUGCUGCAUGGUUGUCGUCAGCUCGUGCCGUGAGGUGUCGGGUUUAAGUCCCAUAACGAGCGCAACCCCUAUCAUUAGUUGCCAUCAGGUCAAGCUGGGACUCUAAUGAAACUGCCUACGCAAGUAGUGAGGAAGGUGGGGAUGACGUCAAAUCAGCACGGCCCUUACGUCCAGGGCUACACACGUGCUACAAUGGCCGAUACAGAGGGCAGCUACCUGGUGACAGGAUGCAAAUCUCCAAAGUCGGUCUCAGUUCGGAUCGGAGUCUGCAACCCGACUCCGUGAAGUUGGAUUCGCUAGUAAUCGCGCAUCAGCCAUGGCGCGGUGAAUACGUUCCCGGGCCUU